CAGUAGCCACGGUAAUACGGAGGGAGCUAGCGCUGUUCGGAAUCACUGGGCGUAAAGCGCACGUAGGCGGCUAUUCAAGUCAGGGGUGAAAGCCCGGGGCUCAACCCCGGAACUGCCUUUGAAACUAGAUAGCUUGAAUCUUGGAGAGGCGAGUGGAAUUCCGAGUGUAGAGGUGAAAUUCGUAGAUAUUCGGAAGAACACCAGUGGCGAAGGCGACUCGCUGGACAAGUAUUGACGCUGAGGUGCGAAAGCGUGGGGAGCAAACAGGAUUAGAUACCCGCGUAGUCCCUGUCUCUUAUAC
Molecule: ribosomal RNA, 301 nt
Filed under: uncultured bacterium
Lineage: Bacteria
Description: partial 16S ribosomal RNA
Rfam family: Bacterial small subunit ribosomal RNA
Source: RNAcentral